This 400-nucleotide ribosomal RNA is filed under the name uncultured bacterium. Its description in RNAcentral is "bacterial SSU rRNA". It matches the Rfam family "Bacterial small subunit ribosomal RNA", at positions 359 to 776 of the family's 1533-position model. The record is from RNAcentral.
GAAUAUUGGACAAUGGGCGAAAGCCUGAUCCAGCCAUGCCGCGUGAGUGAAGAAGGCCUUAGGGUUGUAAAGCUCUUUCAACGGUGAAGAUAAUGACGGUAGCCGUAGAAGAAGCCCCGGCUAAAUUCGUGCCAGCAGCCGCGGUAAUACGAAUGGGGCAAGCGUUGUUCGGAAUCACUGGGCUUAAAGCGUGCGUAGGCGGAUAAGAAAGUCAGAAGUGAAAUCCCUGGGCUCAACCCAGGAACUGCUUUUGAAACUUCUUGUCUAGAAUCCGGGAGAGGUCAGGAGAAUUCCUAGUGUAGAGGUGAAAUUCGCAGAUAUUAGGAGGAAUACCAGUGGCGUAGGCGCCUGACUGGACCGGUAUUGACGCUGAGGCGCGAAAGCCAGGGGAGCAAACGGG